RNAcentral lists this ribosomal RNA (201 nucleotides) under uncultured bacterium. Its description in RNAcentral is "partial 16S ribosomal RNA". It matches the Rfam family "Bacterial small subunit ribosomal RNA", at positions 524 to 724 of the family's 1533-position model. The record is from RNAcentral.
UACGAAGGGGGCGAGCGUUGUUCGGAUUUACUGGGCGUAAAGGGCGCGCAGGCGGCUCAUUUUGUCAGGCGUGAAAGCCCCGGGCUUAACCUGGGAACUGCGUUUGAUACGGAUGGGCCAGAGUUCGGGAGAGGAGAGUGGAAUUCCCAGUGUAGAGGUGAAAUUCGUAGAUAUUGGGAAGAACACCGGUGGCGAAGGCGG